This 115-nucleotide ribosomal RNA is filed under the name Magnetococcales bacterium. Lineage: Bacteria; Pseudomonadati; Pseudomonadota; Magnetococcia; Magnetococcales. The record is from RNAcentral.
CCUGGUGGCCAUUGCGAGGGGGUCACACCCGAUACCAUCCCGAACUCGGAAGUUAAGUCCCUCAGCGCCGAUGAUACUGCAUCUUAAGGUGUGGGAAAGUAGGUCACCGCCAGGA